Long non-coding RNA from Ipomoea nil (Japanese morning glory), 1442 nucleotides. RefSeq lists it as uncharacterized. Lineage: Eukaryota; Viridiplantae; Streptophyta; Magnoliopsida; Solanales; Convolvulaceae. The transcript is spliced from 2 exons. The record is from RefSeq and is a predicted model, not a curated record.
UUGAGACGCAAAACUUAAAAUACCAUUAUUGUAAAUGUUAGUUUAUGGCUCAUGUGAACAACAUCGCUUUUAAUAACUAUGUAUUCUGUGUCUGGCUUCUGCAGAAUGUGCAAACAUUUUAUGUGUUCUUUUCUUUCUUCUCUUGUCUUUCUGCAUGAUUUAAAGUUAAAAUAGCUUUCUGCACCUUUGGUUCGCUGCUCGCUUUCUGUGGUAAAACAUGUGCUUCACUUCGCUCUUUCUGCACCAAGUGUUAGGGACACUAUUGCGUUUUUUAGCUUCACACUUUAAAAAUGUAUGGGUUUCACUUUACCGCACAUUUCUAUGGAUUUCCUUGGUAGUCAACCCAUUUUUCUUAAUCAACUCUGGUGUCAUCGUCUCCUACUUAGUAGCUGGCUUCCCAUUCUUGGGAUCAUUGUUCAUAUAUGCUUUAGCAUAGCAAAAAGCCUAGCGAACUCUGAUAGAACCUGCAUUUCUGCCAAACCCAACAUUCAAUCAACCCUCUAUGUCAGCCAGUCCAUCUCAUCAUCAUCACUUUCUCCUAAUUCCGUGCUCUAAGUUUCCUGACAAAACUGUUGCCUGUUAACACUGACAUGACUUGAAUUCGUUUGCUGACAAUCCAUACCACAAAAACAUAAUCCACUAUCCCUAGCUUUUUAGUUUUGUAGUUGUAUCCACUCACAAGUUAGCAUUGCUGUCCUCUUCCUCAUUUCAAAUAAUUCACUAUCAUAAUUGUCAGUUAUACCCACUUUAAGCAUCCCAUCAGUUAUUAUUAUUGAAUGGUGCCGUUUGAAUUUUAUAAUAUUUUAGCCCAUUUUGGAGAACCCAUGCUGUGACUUUUUUCAUAACAUUCUUGCGGAUUCUUCUAUAUAAUCAUUAAUUAUUAUGUGAUUUAUGUCCAAUAAUAGUGAGGAAGGAUAAAUAUGUACCUAGGUCUUGAUUCCUAGAUUUCUUCCCCUGCUUCAUGGCUUCUGUAAGCUUCAACCUAUCACUAUGAGCAACCCUUAUCUUUUUUUUUUUUUUUUUUUUUUUUUUUUUCUUCCUGACAGAAAAUUAGAGAAUGAUGGCUGUCUAGUAUUUCCAUCCACUACCUUCCAAUUCCCUCUGGACCAACUCUCACCUAAUACCUUGUGCCUCGUGGAAUUUGUGAAGCGUUACGAGGAUAUUCCAGUUUUGGGACAAAGGCCAUCCGAAUAAAUUGGCAGGAACACUGCUCAUAAUCAGAAUGGAGGCAUUUUUUUUUUCAAUUGAUUUUGAAUAAAACCUAUUUUAUUGGGUCAUAAUGGCUCUGAGACUGCAUUCUGCAGAUGUUCUGUAAUAUUCGAACUCAUAUAAUCACCAUACCCUCAUUUUUCGACCUCAAAAUAACGGCUCUCUUUCUCUCCUCUUUGAAAUGUUUGAACUCAAAUUAAUCACUCAGCAAGUAUCAUAGAGAUUUUGGUCAA